Molecule: RNase P RNA, 275 nt
Filed under: Planctomycetota bacterium
Lineage: Bacteria; Pseudomonadati; Planctomycetota
Description: Planctomycetes bacterium (bioreactor metagenome) partial RNase P RNA component class A
Rfam family: Bacterial RNase P class A
About the family: Ribonuclease P (RNase P) is a ubiquitous endoribonuclease, found in archaea, bacteria and eukarya as well as chloroplasts and mitochondria. Its best characterised activity is the generation of mature 5'-ends of tRNAs by cleaving the 5'-leader elements of precursor-tRNAs.
Source: RNAcentral
AGAACAGGGACAGUGCCACAGAGAACAGACCGCCGGACGGCCGGGCAACCGGCGACGGCAAGGGUGAAACGGUGAGGUAAGAGCUCACCGCGCUGCGGGCGACCGCGGCGGCACGGCAAACCCCACCCGGAGGAAGACCGAAUAGGAGGAUCGCGCGGCCCGCGCUCAGGUCCUCGGGUAGGUCGUUGGAGGCCGUUCGCGAGAACGGCCCUAGAGAAAUGGCCGCCAUCGCUUCACGGCGACACCAGAACCCGGCUUACGGGGACCAAGCACUU